Molecule: ribosomal RNA, 233 nt
Filed under: uncultured bacterium
Lineage: Bacteria
Description: partial 16S ribosomal RNA
Rfam family: Archaeal small subunit ribosomal RNA
Source: RNAcentral
UCCUGGCUGUAAACGCUGCGGGCUUGGUGUUGGGGGUCCCACGUGGGCACCCAGUGCCGGAGAGAAGUUGUUAAGCCCGCCACCUGGGGAGUACGGCCGCAAGGCUGAAACUUAAAGGAAUUGGCGGGGGAGCACCGCAACGGGAGGAGCGUGCGGUUUAAUUGGAUUCAACGCCGGACAACUCACCAGGGGCGACCGCCGGAUGAGGCUCAGCUUGACGGGCUUAGCCGAUA